ACUCGAAUUGGCGUCAAAA
RNAcentral lists this microRNA (19 nucleotides) under Corchorus olitorius. RNAcentral describes it as "hsa-miR-61". The record is from RNAcentral. Lineage: Eukaryota; Viridiplantae; Streptophyta; Magnoliopsida; Malvales; Malvaceae.